GCCAAACUGUUGGACCUGUGACUGUGAAGGAAAGUUUCCAGGUGAAUGUGGAUAUUGGGCUAUAUUUUAUAUCGAUCUGAUUUGUGGCUAACAGAAGAUUAUCAAAUCCUCACCCACCACCAACGGGUAAGCUGGAUAGACGGACCAUUCAGCAGGCCCCUCGUAUUUAUUUCCAUCCAAUGGACCAGUGGGUGUGGAGAACAUAAAAAUAGACAUCAAGGCUGCAUACCAAAUU
Pelobates cultripes (western spadefoot toad) is the source of this 235-nucleotide non-coding RNA. NCBI's taxonomy places the organism in Eukaryota, Metazoa, Chordata, Amphibia, Anura, Pelobatidae. The record is from the annotation of a GenBank genome assembly.